AAUGCACCCACCCUUAUCAUCAUCGCUACUUGCUACUUUCUUGUGAGCAAUGGAAAUGUAGACUGUAGGUGCCUUAAACUUUCGCUUGUGUUUCCUCACCAGGACGGGACUCACUGUCAGGGACUAUAAAGUGGCCACAGCUGACCUUUCCACAUCUGACAGUGGAAAGGGAGUCCAGCCUCAGAGUUUUGUUGCAGAGGCAGUGUGCAAAGAGCCCGUAGAGUAAUCUCAGGAUGCCCUGCAGGAGGCUCAGCACUGAUGUUGCGGACCCCUGAGCUCCACCGUGUUCACAUCAAUGUCAAUAAUCAAAUAUUGUCACAGCACAAGAGCUUUGUUUUGUGCAGCCAAACCCAAGCACUGGAUGGAAACCAAAGGUUUAUGUGUGAGAGGAGCCGGCUUCUUUUCAUUACUGCAUGAUUUUAAGCCAAUGACCAAGGAAACAUCUUAAAAUAAUCCAGGAAUGAUGGCAGGACUAAUGCAGAGUGUUGGUGCAGGACACCUUUCCAAAGCUAUUGCGUUAUUGUGAUAGCAUAUUGAGCCCCAAAGAAGAAAUCUCUUGUUUUCUUUCUCUUGCUGCACUUUAUAGAUAGAGCAAGACUAAACCAUCCUGAGUCUAUUAAACAAAUUUAUAACCAAUAAAACUAUUCAAAAGUGUCGCAGUCUCAACUCAAGAAUGUAUAAUUAUGCUUAUGUAUAAAUAUGCUUACCAAUGAACUUACUGCCUCCUUUCUUGUGUUUUCAUGUUAUCUUGUGGUGAAAAGUAACUCAG
This 769-nucleotide long non-coding RNA is filed under the name Scophthalmus maximus (turbot). Its description in RNAcentral is "lncRNA (ENSSMAG00000028180.1)". Lineage: Eukaryota; Metazoa; Chordata; Actinopteri; Pleuronectiformes; Scophthalmidae. The record is from RNAcentral.